GUCUUCCAGAUUAAAAAAUUGGAAGUCCAGCCUGCCCAGUGAGUAUUUUAACGGCCGCGGUAACCUGACCGUGCUAAGGUAGCGCAAUCAAUUGCCCUUUAAUUGUGGGCUAGUAUGAAUGGCUAGACAAGAGCUUGGCUGUCUCAAAGGGGCUUAUGAAAAUUAACCUUUAGGUGCAGAGGCCUAAAUUUUAGUGAAAGACAAGAAGACCCUAUCGAGCUUUAAUUUUUUCUAUUAUUAUAAUAGUAUAAAUUUUUAUUGGGGCAAUAAAGGAGCAAUUUAAGCCUCCUUAAAUCUAAAGUUAAACUAAUUUAUAAAAGAAACAUUUAAUAAUGCUCUUAGGAAAAAGCUACCGUAGGGAUAACAGACUAAUUUCCCUCAAGAGUCCACAUUGACAGGGAAGUUUGGCACCUCGAUGUUGGCUUAAAAAAACAGUUAUGAAGCAGCAUUCUAACUUUGUAGGUUUGUUCAACCUUUAAUAUUUUA
This 486-nucleotide ribosomal RNA is filed under the name Phascolosoma agassizii. RNAcentral's name for it is "partial 16S ribosomal RNA". It matches the Rfam family "Bacterial large subunit ribosomal RNA", at positions 1819 to 2598 of the family's 2925-position model. The record is from RNAcentral. Lineage: Eukaryota; Metazoa; Annelida; Sipuncula; Phascolosomatiformes; Phascolosomatidae.